This 121-nucleotide small nucleolar RNA is filed under the name Castor canadensis (American beaver). RNAcentral's name for it is "Small nucleolar RNA SNORA32 (ENSCCNG00000016413.1)". It matches the Rfam family "Small nucleolar RNA SNORA32". Rfam says of the family: ACA32 is a member of the H/ACA class of snoRNA that guide the sites of modification of uridines to pseudouridines. Lineage: Eukaryota; Metazoa; Chordata; Mammalia; Rodentia; Castoridae. The record is from Rfam by way of RNAcentral.
UAGCCAUGACCAAGGCUUUUAGAAUGCAGUUUCUCAUUUGCUGUGGACAUGACCAUAAAAAAUUUUCCCAGUAGGCUUUCUAUAUGCUACUUUGUUAGCAGUCAACCUACUGGGAACACUG